GAAUGCAUCAUUCAUCAGCGGCUGUUUCGAGAUUUAUCUUAGCGCAAUACUUGGAAUGAAACUCUAAAUGCUCAAAUAUUCUAAUUGUUUUAGAUAGAUAGUUGCUUUUAUUUAUUUUCUUAAUUUGUUUUAAGGGAAGUCAAAUGGUAAAAAAGAUGGAAUAUAAAUAUAAAGAUUCAUUUCCAUCAAUGUAAUUGUGAAGAUCGAUUUUAUAACAAGUGAAAAAUAAAAUCGUUUUAAUGCAAGCGAUAUCUUAACCAAAGAGUGAACUGAUUGAUAUUUGAAUAGAAGACUGAUCUGUACUUCAUGCUUCAAGGAAUAUGUUCAAAUGCGUCUGCCCUUUUCGAAUCAAAAUAAAGAGGGAAAUAUUUACCGUCUGGUAUGACAUGGAGGAAGAAAUUAAAACGAAAGAAAUAUUUCUUGGAGGCACCCUUAGAAUUGAUUAAAACAGGGAAGUAUCUGACUCCAACAUCGUUUUCUCUGUUUUCGAACGUAAAUCUAUAUAAGGAAAAGCUCACUUUUUUGUAACAUGUCUGAAUUGUUUGUAAAAGUUAUAGCUGUAUCCGUAAUAGCUGUGGAAAUUAGAGCAUCCGUUGUUUUCAGUUCAGUUUUGUAAUUAACUUGGAGAUGAAAAAAAAUUAUGUCUGUUUCAACGGGUUUCAAUAAGUUAUGAAGGUAUUUGAUGACUUUAUUUCUGAAAUUUAAAUUAAGACGUGACAGAAAAUAUAUAUGUUCUCGAAUUAUAAAUGGAACAAUCAGUUUAACUAAAACAUUCUCUUUUAUUGGACAGAAUAGUAAAGAAACGGGAUAACAUAAGUGUUUGAUGAAAUACUGUAAACUUUUGUCAUAAAAUUUGUAUAUAAUAUCA
This is a long non-coding RNA of Parasteatoda tepidariorum (common house spider), 868 nucleotides long. RefSeq lists it as uncharacterized. NCBI's taxonomy places the organism in Eukaryota, Metazoa, Arthropoda, Arachnida, Araneae, Theridiidae. The record is from RefSeq and is a predicted model, not a curated record.